Molecule: long non-coding RNA, 480 nt
Organism: Amphimedon queenslandica
Lineage: Eukaryota; Metazoa; Porifera; Demospongiae; Haplosclerida; Niphatidae
Exons: 2
Source: RefSeq, a predicted model, not a curated record
GAUAAUAGAGUUCUGCACAAGCUUACUUGAUCCAUAGAUAUUAGAGUAAAUAAAUGAAAGGGAUAGGAAACUUCCGUUGCGUGGGCGGAUUAUUUCAUUAAGAUUAUUAGGUUGCCUAGCAACAUAGGCAAGUUACCCUUCCCGGGCCUUUUCCUUCACUGUUCGGCGUCCUAUUUCAACUCAUAACUCUAAAGUGACUUGUGUUCAUCCUCUGCAAUGAUAAUUAAAGGCAUUACAGAUACCUCCCUUACAUUCUGUCUAAUUUUUGAAGUAAAAUAGUAUUGAUAACUAUGGAAUACAAAAGAAGUAAUACCAGAAUUAACUAUUACCAACUAUUCUAUACAUUAUUAUGGAGGGCACGCAACAUAAAUGACUCCGAUGACAGAUUUGGUGACUGAUUUAUAAUCGAUUCAAAGUUUUUGCAAAGACCUUCGUUUUGUACCUUUUUCUUUACAGUUCAAUGAUUGGCACAUUAAAAUG